UACGUAGGGUGCAAGCGUUGUCCGGAAUUAUUGGGCGUAAAGAGCUCGUAGGCGGUUCGUCGCGUCGGCUGUGAAAACCUGAGGCUCAACCUCAGGCCUGCAGUCGAUACGGGCGGACUUGAGUACUGCAGGGGAGACUGGAAUUCCUGGUGUAGCGGUGAAAUGCGCAGAUAUCAGGAGGAACACCGGUGGCGAAGGCGGCUUCCUGGUCCAGCACCGACAUUCAGGCACGAAAGCGUGGGGAGCAAACAGG
This 253-nucleotide ribosomal RNA is filed under the name uncultured bacterium. Its description in RNAcentral is "partial 16S ribosomal RNA". It matches the Rfam family "Bacterial small subunit ribosomal RNA", at positions 524 to 776 of the family's 1533-position model. The record is from RNAcentral.